RNAcentral lists this non-coding RNA (24 nucleotides) under Cricetulus griseus (Chinese hamster). Lineage: Eukaryota; Metazoa; Chordata; Mammalia; Rodentia; Cricetidae. The record is from RNAcentral.
AUUACGCGUGUGUCCGAAGGGAGA